Molecule: ribosomal RNA, 28 nt
Filed under: Enterocytozoon bieneusi
Lineage: Eukaryota; Fungi; Microsporidia; Enterocytozoonidae
Description: partial large subunit ribosomal RNA
Source: RNAcentral
CAGUAGGGUGCCAUCAAGAGGUGUAUUA